GCGCUGCUGAUGAGUCCUACAAUAGGAGGAAACGGUCGUCCAGUGC
Molecule: non-coding RNA, 46 nt
Filed under: Schistosoma margrebowiei
Lineage: Eukaryota; Metazoa; Platyhelminthes; Trematoda; Strigeidida; Schistosomatidae
Source: RNAcentral